This 476-nucleotide long non-coding RNA is filed under the name Lynx pardinus (Iberian lynx). Lineage: Eukaryota; Metazoa; Chordata; Mammalia; Carnivora; Felidae. The record is from RNAcentral.
UUGGAUACAGUAUACUUUAUUGAUGGUACAUGAUAAGGUAGGGCUCCUCAAGCCCCUCCCCUUCUUCAGGGGGUCUGGGAUGGAAACUGGAGGUCAGGAGAUUCUCAAGUGUGUUGGGUACUGAACUGGGGCAAGGAAUCCCCAGCAGCUGAGGGCCUCUCUCUUCUUCUUCCUCUUGCUGGGGCUGGUGAUCCAGGGGGCUUUUACUCCUUGGAGGCCAUGUGGACCAUAAGAUCCACCACCUGGUUGCUGUAGCCAAAUUCAUUGUCAUACCAGGAAAUGAGCUUGACAAAGUGGUCACUGAGCACAAUGUCAGCCCCAGCGUCGAAGGUGGAAGAGUGGGUGUCACUGUUAAAGUCGCAGGAGAUGACCUGGUCCUCAGCAUAGCCCAGGAUGCCCUUGAGGGGGCCCUCUGAUGCCUGCUUCACCACCUUCUUGAUGUCUUCGUAUUUGGCAGCUUUCUCCAGGAAGCAGGU